GGAACCGACCCGGGGACCGCCGGGGCAACCCGGCGCCCCCGAGACGGGGCGAACCACGGUGAAAUGACGGAUCGUCGGCCCCCGCGCCGGCGACUCGCCGAAUGAGUUUCUGACCUAUCAACUCGAGACGGCGGGGUAGAGGCCCGCCGCGGUAACGACGGGUAACGGGGAAUCAGGGUUCGAUUCCGGAGAGGGAGCCUGAGAAACGGCUACCACAUCUACGGAAGGCAGCAGGCGCGUAAAUUACCCAAUCCUGAUUCAGGGAGGUAGUGACAAGAAAUAACAACUCGGGGCCUCACGGCUUACGAGAUUGCAAUGAGAACAAUUUAAAUCUCUUAGCGAGGAACAAUUGGAGGGCAAGUCUGGUGCCAGCAGCCGCGGUAAUUCCAGCUCCAAUAGCGUAUAUUAAAGUUGUUGCAGUUAAAAAGCUCGUAGUUGAAUUUCUGAUUAUGGAUGUAGCGGUUUCCGUUACAUUUGUAGUCAUCCACAUGAGAACCUUUUCUCGGCCUUCACUGUCGGUUGGGGAGUCAUGUACUUACUUUGUAAAAAUAUA
Molecule: ribosomal RNA, 553 nt
Filed under: uncultured eukaryote
Lineage: Eukaryota
Description: bacterial SSU rRNA
Rfam family: Eukaryotic small subunit ribosomal RNA
Source: RNAcentral